GACGUAGGAGGCGAGCGUUGUCCGGAGUUACUGGGCGUAAAGCGCGCGCAGGCGGCCCUGUGCGCUGCCGGUGAAAGCUCCCGGCUUACCUGGGAGAGGGUCGGCAGGACGGCAGGGCUGGAGGGUGGGAGAGGUCGGUGGAAUUCCCGGUGUAGUGGUGAAAUGCGUAGAGAUCGGGAGGAACACCCGUAGCGAAGGCGGCCGACUGGACCACACCUGACGCUGAGGCGCGAAGGCCAGGGGAGCGAACGGG
RNAcentral lists this ribosomal RNA (253 nucleotides) under uncultured bacterium. Its description in RNAcentral is "partial 16S ribosomal RNA". It matches the Rfam family "Bacterial small subunit ribosomal RNA", at positions 524 to 776 of the family's 1533-position model. The record is from RNAcentral.